AACGAACGCUGGCGGCAGGCUUAACACAUGCAAGUCGAACGGUUGUAGCAAUACAGCAGUGGCGCACGGGUGAGUAACGCGUGGAUAUCUGCCUUUUGGUUCGGAAUAACUCCGGGAAACUGGAGCUAAUACCGGAUGGUUCCUACGGGAUAAAGAUUUAUCGCCAAAAGAUGAGUCCGCGUACGAUUAGCUAGUUGGUGAGGUAAUGGCUCACCAAGGCGACGAUCGUUAGCUGGUCUGAGAGGACGAUCAGCCACACUGGGACUGAGACACGGCCCAGACUCCUACGGGAGGCAGCAGUGGGGAAUAUUGGACAAUGGGGGCAACCCUGAUCCAGCCAUGCCGCGUGAGUGAUGAAGGCC
Molecule: ribosomal RNA, 362 nt
Filed under: uncultured bacterium
Lineage: Bacteria
Description: bacterial SSU rRNA
Rfam family: Bacterial small subunit ribosomal RNA
Source: RNAcentral